CUCCGUCUUGGGGAGGUCGCUGCAGCAGGAGGAGGUAACUACUGCUGGUUUUGUAAGGCAUUGUGGUUGAGAGCACCUUGCAGCUGUAACGCGAAUUUCGUUCCGUAAUAAACAAUGUACCGUAUGCUGCCUGUCCUUCCUCCCUCCCAGCACUGUGUAUGUCUGUGCGUGUGUGUGUGUCUUAAUUCUCCCUCACUGCACUGUGCGUACGUCUGUGUGUGUGUGUGUGUGUUGUUCUGUCUCUGUCUCUCUCUCUCUCAAUCUCUCUCUCUGUCUCUGUCUCUCUCUGUCUGUCUCUCUAUCUCUCAAUCUCUCUGUCUUUCUCUCUAUCUCUCAAUCUCUCUGUCUUUCUCUCUCUCUCUAGUUAGUAAAGAACAGGCAACAAGAAACCUCCACGGCUGAGCUUCAACAACAGAACACCUCGUCACCGUUGAGGAGGCUCCACGCCCCGGACCACAGCCAUGUUAGCCUCGAUAAUAGUCCUCGGCGCACUUAUUCUGAGAUGUCCUCGUGAGUGAGUGCCCUAAUUGCCUUUACUGAUAAUGUCGCAGGUAUCCAAUGGUUCAGGUGUGAUGUCAAAUAUUUUUGUUAUUGUGUCGUAAAUAUCCAGUGAUUAUUUCAGUCGCUGAAUGUUCAUCGCACACAGUUUGUCUGAGUAGAAACACUGAUUAAUAUCCAUGAUCGGUUAAAUUACGAACUCCCUCGAUUUCAGACUGGAGAGCUACACAACACCGGUCAUCCGCUGAGUGGUUGAAUUCCUGGUCUACCGGCCCCUGGAGGAGUGGUCGAUUGCCUGGUCUACUGUGGAUAUGAGUGGUUGAUUCCCUGGUCUACCCCUGGAUGACGCAGCUGUUCCUAUGCAGGGGAAGACUCACCCAAGCGAUAAGGUAAGGUUUUAAUGGCUGGGUUUACAAGAAGUUUUAAUGGCUGGGUUUACAAGAGGUUUUAAUGGUUGGGUUUACAAGAGGUUUUAAUGGUUGGGUUUACAAGAGGUUUUAAUGGCUGGGUUUACAAGAGAUUUUAAUGGCUGGGUUUACAAGAGAUUUUAAUGGCUGGGUUUACAGAGAUUUUAAUGGCUGGGUUUACAAGAGAUUUUAAUGGCUGGGUUUACAAGAGAUUUUAAUGGCUGGGUUUACAAGAAGUUUUAAUGGCUGGGUUUACAAGAAGUUUUAAUGGCUGGGUUUACAAGAAGUUUUAAUGGCUGGGUUUACAAGAAGUUUUAAUGGCUGGGUUUACAAGAAGUUUUAAUGGCUGGGUUUACAAGAAGUUUUAAUGGCUGGGUUUACAAGAAGUUUUAAUGGCUGGGUUUACAAGAAGUUUUAAUGGCUGGGUUUACAAGAAGUUUUAAUGGCUGGGUUUACAAGAGGUUUUAAUGGGUGGGUUUACAAGAGGUUUUAAUGGGUGGGUUUACAAGAGGUUUUAAUGGCUGGGUUUACAAGAGGUUUUAAUGGCUGGGUUUACAAGAGGUUUUAAUGGCUGGGUUUACAAGAGGUUUUAAUGGCUGGGUUUACAAGAGGUUUUAAUGGCUGGGUUCAAGAGAGGUUUUAAUGGCUGGGUUCAAGAGAGGUUUUAAUAGCUGGGUUCAAGAGAGGUUUUAAUAGCUGGGUUCAAGAGAGGUUUUAAUAGCUGGGUUCAAGAGAGGUUUUAAUAGCUGGGUUCAAGAGAGGUUUUAAUAGCUGGGUUCAAGAGAGGUUUUAAUAGCUGGGUUCAAGAGAGGUUUUAAUAGCUGGGUUCAAGAGAGGUUUUAAUAGCUGGGUUCAAGAGAGGUUUUAAUAGCUGGGUUCAAGAGAGGUUUUAAUAGCUGGGUUCAAGAGAGGUUUUAAUAGCUGGGUUCAAGAGAGGUUUUAAUAGCUGGGUUCAAGAGAGGUUUUAAUUGCUGGGUUUACAAGAGGUUUUAAUAGCUGGGUUCAAGAGAGGUUUUAAUAGCUGGGUUUACAAGAGGUUUUAAUAGCUGGGUUCAAGAGGUUUUAAUUGCUGGGUUUACAAGAGGUUUUAAUAGCUGGGUUCAAGAGAGGUUUUAAUAGCUGGGUUUACAAGAGGUUUUAAUAGCUGGGUUCAAGAGAGGUUUUAAUAGCUGGGUUUACAAGAGGUUUUAAUAGCUGGGUUCAAGAGAGGUUUUAAUAGCUGGGUUUACAAGAGGUUUUAAUAGCUGGGUUCAAGAGAGGUUUUAAUAGCUGGGUUUACAAGAGGUUUUAAUAGCUGGGUUCAAGAGAGGUUUUAAUGGCUGGGUUUACAAGAGGUUUUAAUGGCUGGGUUUACAAGAGGUUUUAAUUGCUGGGUUUACAAGAGGUUUUAAUUGCUGGGUUUACAAGAGGUUUUAAUGGCUGGGUUUACAAGAGGUUUUAAUGGCUGGGUUUACAAGAGGUUUUAAUGGCUGGGUUUACAAGAGGUUUUAAUGGCUGGGUUUACAAGAGGUUUUAAUGGCUGGGUUUACAAGAGGUUUUAAUGGCUGGGUUUACAAGAGGUUUUAAUGGCUGGGUUUACAAGAGGUUUUAAUGGCUGGGUUUACAAGAGGUUUUAAUUGCUGGGUUUACAAGAGGUUUUAAUGGCUGGGUUUACAAGAGGUUUUAAUGGCUGGGUUUACAAGAGGUUUUAAUGGCUGGGUUUACAAGAGGUUUUAAUGGCUGGGUUUACAAGAGGUUUUAAUGGCUGGGUUUACAAGAGGUUUUAAUGGCUGGGUUUACAAGAGGUUUUAAUGGCUGGGUUUACAAGAGGUUUUAAUGGCUGGGUUUACAAGAGGUUUUAAUGGCUGGGUUUACAAGAGGUUUUAAUGGCUGGGUUUACAAGAGGUUUUAAUGGCUGGGUUUACAAGAGGUUUUAAUGGCUGGGUUUACAAGAGGUUUUAAUAGCUGGGUUUACAAGAGGUUUUAAUGGCACAUAUCUACUGAAUGUUGGUGUGUUACAUAUCUUGACAUGCUCUCAGGGUAAGGAGUGUUCUGAUAUGGUGCCUUCCCCCUCCCCCAGCACCUGUCGGACCUGGAGACUCCCCCCUGAGCCUGACGGUGGAGCUGUGGGCCCUGCACCAGACCCCCCCCCCCCCACACCACCCACAGCAGGGGCAGGGCGUUGAGACUCCCCCCACAGGCUAAGACAGGGAGGGACUUGAAGAUCCGGGUUUUUGUCAUCUGCACAGGAAUUGACACAUGGUAUUUGGGAGCAGCGAGUAGCGGGCUUUUUUUUUUAAUAUAGUUUCCUUUUUUGUGUGUGCCCUUGAGCUGUCUCCUUUGUUGUAGAAAAAAAAUACUUGACAAGGCUUUCAUAGGUGUUUGGGGCAUUUCCAGGGGUAGUUUAAUGACCCUGGUGGUAGUCUGACCCUUCCUCUGCGCAAUGAACUUGAAAAAACGCUCAUAAAAAUGCAGAUAUUAACCCAGUAGCAGCGGGGAUCAUGUUUCUUAAUGGUCCCUCCAAGCGAGAAAAAUGAGAAAAAAAUCACCCCUCACACAAACCAUUUCAUAUAUAUCAAAGCAUUUGCGAUCAGAUUAUGUAUCAUCUAUUUUUGGUGUUUAUAUCAUGGCACAAAUUUAGCCUGUCGCUGCUACACGGUAAAGCCACAAAUUUGGCCUGUCGCUGCUACCGGGUUAACCUCAUUGUCGUGUUAAAAUCCCUGUAUCUCACUGUUAUCUUCCUCUCCCUCUAUAUUAUUUGUCAAUCUCUCUCUUUCUCUCUCUCCCACAGAUGUCUAAGGUUCCGCCCAUGCAGCUGAAGGGUGCCAAUGCCUACACAUGCGUCGACCACAGGUGUGCGCUGGACAUUGCCUACAAUUCAUGGUGCAAAUGGGAGCGUCGGCGGAGAUCGAGCUGGCUGAAGGUUGGCGGCCGGGUCAAGCUCGCCUCGGACAAGGAGUUCCGUGACAUGUGCUCGGCCGAUGUUGUUGACCUCGGCCACAUCAAUGUUACUAAUGCGGUGGAGGUGUGGAAACUACAUCUACAUGGACGACGGACUCAAGGAGAUCGCUGAGACUACUACUACUACUAUUGCUAUUACUAUCCUCUAUACUGCUAUGUGUACUAUUAAAUCCUCUAUACUGCUACUAUGUGUACUAUUGAAUCCCUUAUAUAGUACUUCCAUGACAGCUGAUCGGUGAUAUUACUACUACUACUGCUAUGACCAUUCAAUCCCUGGUAAGUACAAUGUCAUUAUCAUCAUCAUUAUUUAGGUUAAGGUCCAUUUAAUUCAAUCUUCCUGAGCGGUUGGACGCUUUAUGGCUCUCCUCCAUUCUACUCUGUCUUCCGCCCAAUUCUUAUACAGUCCUAUCAAUCCCAAGUCUUCCUGUACACACCUUCUCCACGUUUUCCUAGGUCUACCAACUGGUCUCCUUCCUUCUACCUCCAAUCUCUCCAACACUCCCAGCACUGUAUCCUCCCCUGCUCUCUUUACAUGUCCAAACCAUUGGAGUCUUUCCCUUCUGAGCACUGUUUCCAGGUCCCCUACUAAAACUCCCAGCACUGUGUCCUCCCCAGCUCUCUUUACAUGUCCAAACCAUUGGAGUCUUUCCCUUCUGAGCACUGUUUCCAGGUCCUCUACUAAAACUCCCAGCACUGUAUCCUCCCCUGCUCUCUUUACAUGUCUAAACCAUUGGAGUCUUUCCCUUCUGAGCACUGUUUCCAGGUCCUCUACUAAAACUCCCAGCACUGUGUCCUCCCCAGCUCUCUUUACAUGUCCAAACCAUUGGAGUCUUUCCCUUCUGGGCACUGUUUCCAGGUCCUCUACUAAAACUCCCAGCACUGUGUCCUCCCCUGCUCUCUUUACAUGUCUCUGCCAAAUAUUUCCCUCUCCCUGCCUCUGUCCUUGCCAAAUCACUCUCCCUGCCUGUGUCCCUGCCAUAGCCUCUCCUCCUUACCUAACCUACCUUACCCUACCCUAAGCUACCCUAACCUACCUCUCUCUCUCUCCACCAGGUUGACAAGCCCGUCCAUGGUGAAGAAGCCUCGUCCUACCCGCGCUGAGGUGACCCGUGUGGGCAACGCUACCAUGGAUGGAGCAGUGGGGGAGGCGGUGGCCGAGUGGAUAGCAUGAUGGCGCCACAUUCGGGACAACGCGAGUUCAAUCCCCGCCCGGUGCCACCAAGCUGGGAUUUUUCAGCUGCCGCUGAGUGGCUUAAAACUACCCACAUGCUGUCCAGAAGACCACCUAUCAACCCGGACUCUAGAUUCUAGGAUUAAAGAUGAGCUCCGGGAGGGCAGCAUGAGCCAAUGCAAGAUGGCGUAUGUAUAUACUUACGAAUGUAUACACUUAGAAUAUCUCUCUGAUAAGGCUUUCGUCGGAGUUGUGGAUAUUUCCAGGGGUAGUUUUAUGACCCUGGUGGUAGCAAUAUAUAGUCUGACCCUCUCUGUACUUUGAGCCUUAGGGUCGUAUUAUAAGACAUUUCAUCGCCCAAGAACACUCAUUUGACAAGGUUUUCGUAGGAGUUGAGGGCAUUUCCAGGAGUAGUUCUAUGACCCUGGUGGUAGUGUGACCCCUCCUCUGUACCAUGAACCUGUAGAUACACUCAUGAUAACCCGAUUGACCCCCUCUUUGACCUUUAUAAAUAGGUAAUGUGAGAAGCGAAAGUGUCUUGCAAUACUCAAUUUAUAACUUUUUUGGCCUGUACAUAAAAUCCCUGCUCAAGGUCGCCAUACAGCAGGAGGCGUAACAUAUCUGGAAACCUAUCUUCGUUAUUGGGGCUAUUUCCUUGCAAAUUGGGACUUUCCUGGGAGAGUACAUCACGGCAAAGCCAUUUCUGGUCUCAAAAUUGCGAUACAGCGCCUACCGGUCGAGAUAGCUUUGUGUCUCUCUUAUCUCUGUGUUAUAUAAAGGCUGGCCUCUGACAGUACAUGCAGCAACAUAUGUAACUGUACCUAAUGGGCUAUUAAGAAAUGUUUCAAAUGUUUCAAAUGCUCUGUCCUUACCUCAGUUAAUUCAUUCUUCCUCAUAUAUAUAUAUAUCUUGAUUGCCCUCUCAUCUUUUUAAUUAAUCCUCGAUCGCUCUCUCUUAAUAUAUAUAUCUUGAUUGCCCUCUCAUCUUUUUAAUUAAUCCUCAAUCGCUCUCUUAAUAUAUAUAUCUUGAUUGCCCUCUCAUCUUUUUAAUUAAUCCUCAAUCGCUCUCUUAAUAUAUAUAUCUUGAUUGCUCUCUCUUAAUAUAUAUAUCUUGAUUGCCCUCUCAUCUUUUUAAUUAAUCCUCGAUCGCUCUCUCUUAAUAUAUAUAUCUUGAUUGCCCUCUCAUCUUUUUAAUUAAUCCUCGAUCGCUCUCUUAAUAUAUAUAUCUUGAUUGCCCUCUCAUCUUUUUAAUUAAUCCUCGAUCUUUUAAUCAUCCCAGCCAGCUGUUCCUCUUAGUGGCCCUCACACACCUGUACACAAUUUUCCGUACAUACCAAGAUCCAUUUCUAAUCGUCAGCCAACUCUAAUAUAAAUUCUUUUAAAUUGUUUUAAGAGUAGACUGGAUAGCUACAUGGAUGACAGGUGGCAGUGAGGUGUGGGUGCAGUAAGGUGACGGGGUACACCUCACCCACCGUGAGUAGUGGGGGGGAUUCUGGAGCUGCCCUGUGUAGACCACUCGGCCUCUUGCACUUUCCCUAU
Long non-coding RNA from Eriocheir sinensis (Chinese mitten crab), 6554 nucleotides. RefSeq lists it as uncharacterized. The record is from RefSeq and is a predicted model, not a curated record. The transcript is spliced from 5 exons. NCBI's taxonomy places the organism in Eukaryota, Metazoa, Arthropoda, Malacostraca, Decapoda, Varunidae.